CGGCGCUCUGUUACUGCUGCUCCAUUUGGCGGUCAGGCAAAGGCGUCAUGAAGUCGGACGGCAAGCCGCGCUUCUCCGUGGAUGGCAAGGUGAGGAGGGGUCGGGAGGAGGAGGAGGAGGGAGCGGGCUCAUAUUGAUGGAACCAUUCAACGGACACAAAGCCUUCCCUGCCCUGCCCCGUGUCUUCCUUCCUUCCUGGUCUCGACCCCUCGUUCAGCCCAUCUUCCACUUCAUGGGCACCUCCACAUUCAGCGAGUACACGGUGGUUCACGAGCAGAGUGUGGCCAAGAUCGACCCCUCAGCGCCCCUGGACAAGGUCUGCCUGCUUGGCUGCGGAGUGUCGACCGGCUGGGGGGCGGUGGUUAACACGGCCAAGGUGAAGCCCGGCAGCAGUGUGGCGGUAUUCGGGCUGGGUGCAGUGGGCCUGGCGGUCAUUGAGGCGGCGCGGCGGGCGGGCGCAGCGAGGAUCAUCGGUGUGGAUAUCAACCCGUCCAAAUUCUCGGCGGCCCAGGAGUUCGGGGCUACCGAGUGUAUCAACCCCAAGAACCACGAUAAACCCAUUCAGCAGGUAAUGGAGGGCGGCAGAAGGAAAAGGUGGAAGGGUUGCUGGCAUCUAUCGUUCGUCUUAGUUUCACCAAUGAGUCAAAGGGUAUUUUCAUAUGCAUGGCGCCCACGCGAUUAUAAGGGCUAAAAUGUAAUAGUAUUGAUGCUGAGUGUUGGGUACCAAUCCUAAUGCAUGGCGCCCUGCUCUUUUACAGUCCCAGUCCUUGGUUUGCUUCAACGGAUUACCAAUUGAGGACGCGGGCGGCCUGUCACUUCGCAGGUGAUUGUGGAGAUGACGGAGUGGGGCUGCGAUUACACGUAAGUGGACACACAAGUGGAAAAGGCUUUGGAAGUAGUGUAGGCAAGGAUGUAAGGAAGGAAAGGGAAUGGGAGGAACCGGAAGGGAAGCACAGGAAAGCGGUUCCUGUGUGGGUUUCUGUUAAUCCAACACCCCCCCUUCCCCUGUCUUGCCUACUCCCACCAGCUUCGAGUGCAUUGGCAACGUGUCCGUGAUGCGCGCUGCACUGGAGUGCGCCCAUCGUGGCUGGGGCACGUCGGUGAUUAUCGGAGUUGCGGCUGCGGGCCAGGAGAUCAGCACACGCCCCUUCCAGUUGGUUACAGGCCGCCGCUGGAUGGGGACGGCGUUCGGGGGCUACAAGAGCCGGGUCCAGGUGCCCGACCUGGUCACUGAGUACAUGGAGGGCAAGACCCUGCUCGACAAGUACAUCACCCACAACCUCAAGUUUGACCAGAUUAAUGAGGCCUUUGAGCUGCUGCACGCAGGGGAGUGCCUGCGAUGCGUGCUUACGUUCUGAAGAUAUACGCAUGGUUUCUGGAAACGAGCAUCUCAGAUGAUCAACAAUCGAGACAUUAUAGCCCUUUUCCAAAAUGGUUGUGCCGAAGUUUCUGUUGUAUUGCGGCACUGGAAAUGGGGUUGAAAUUUAAAAGGAUUACUUGGAAUUACCACUUUUUUCCCUUUGCCUUUUAAUGUUUUUGCACGUGUUUUUACUAAGAUCGUUCGUAUAGCAGGAUGCUAUCUUGCACAUCUGCAUAUAUUUAGACAUUUUUGAGCAAAGAGGCUCAUGAAUAUUUGUAUUGUACAAGGAGGCAGUUAAAGUUUGUUGCGAGGCCGAUGGUUAUCGGUACGGACUUGUAACCGCCUUAGCAGCGUUGCCUGACGUUAAUGAAUGCCAUCGGUGGUUACGCCAUGUAAGUUUGGUAUCAAGCUUCAACAAUUUCAGGAUGACCUCUUUUGGAUGUCCAGUGGCAAAGCAAAGACUGCAACAUGGACAUCACCGGGCGUUCUUCCCUCUUAAAAUUGUUUCUGGAUAUUCAAGUUUCACAGUGCAAAAGCGGUCCGCUGUGUUACGGAAGUGCUGCGUUGCGACAUCGGCUAGCACGGCCCUUUCGGAAAAUGCAGGCAAGCCAAUUGAAUGCAAAGCCGCGAUAGCUUGGGAGCCCAGAAAGGCCCUAGACCUUCGGACCGUUACCGUGGCACCACCUGGCCCUGGGGAGGUGCGCAUAAAAAUUGUCGCGACGGCGCUAUGCCACACGGUAAGUUACCGUCGUGCUGUUGCUCGAUACAACGCAAGAUGAGGAGAACUAGAACAGAUACACGACAAAAGAUAAGAAAGCAAAGCGUUUCUGUUAUAUUAAUUUAUAGGAUGGACGUGGCGCUCCCGUACGGAACGUUGGAGCUGAGGGGCCCAUUCUGCGGCAGCGCUCCUCCAAACCAAGCAGCCCGCUGCACCUGCACUCUGAGCGAAACUUCCGCACCUUGGGGCUCAAAGGGGAAACAUGAUGAAUCCCUAGUUGACUUCCUAUCUCUCGCCGGGAGCCCUUAGCACUAUAGCGACUAACCACUUGCCGCCUCCAUGCGACUUGCCUCCACGCAUAGUCUCCUGCACGUGUCACGCACGAACAUACGAUAGGUUCUUAUGCCGUUAAGUCAUUCAUGCAUCUGCCUGGCAACCUGCCUGUUCCUCUCCAUUGGCCCAGGACGCUUACACGUUAGGCGGAUUAGAUCCAGAGGGUGAGUUCCAAAGCAGCAUGGAUGGCUGAGCAACAAACCAAGUAUGGCACGGCAUAGCUCGUCGCCGUGCUGUUCGCUUCGGGACUGUCAGCACGAACCCAGCUCUAGGUUCCCAUCGCCCUCGUUAGUCCCAGGUGCCCUUUCCCAUGGCCUUUCAAGCCCUCCAUUCCCGACCUGACAGCCUCUCUGCCUUGCAGGCCUCUUCCCAUGCAUCCUGGGGCACGAGGCGGCGGGCAUUGUGGAGAGCGUGGGAGAGGGCGUGACGUCUGUAAAUCCAGGUAAUGCUCUUGUCAUUGCCUGCCACUCUCCCGCUCACACAUCCGCACAUGCCACAAACCUGCCGGUCCAGAUGCGUUGCCAGUACAUCCCCCCCGCGCAUGUGCCGCACUGCUUUAACUUUGCUCCGCUCUGCAGAGCCCAAAGGUCCCCUUUGUACGGCUCGUGCCUCCUGCCCUGCGCCUCCCAGCUGGACAGUUGGCCGGCCGUGUUCCGUCUUGCUGCCGAAUUCCCCCGUUCUCGUGGUCCACCGUCUUGUGUUUGUCCUCCUGUCGCCUCCAUUGUCCUCCCCAUGCCCCUUCCCCACCAGGCGACCACGUCAUACCCUGUUACCAAGCCUAUUGCGGCGAGUGCAAGUUCUGCAAGCACCCGGAGUCCAACCUAUGUGUCUCGGUGCGCGCUUUUACAGGUGGGGGAGUCGGGGCCGGGUUGAAAGGGGAGGGGCUCCCUCAGGCGAGUGUUGGUCAUUGACCCGUAGCCGGUUCGCGGGCAUUACAUGAUAUAUGACUGCUGCGCUCCUGCCGUUCAUGACCCGACCCGUGCCUCUCUAUAACCCACCCGGCGCUCUGUUACUGCUGCUCCAUUUGGCGGUCAGGCAAAGGCGUCAUGAAGUCGGACGGCAAGCCGCGCUUCUCCGUGGAUGGCAAGGUGAGGAGGGGUCGGGAGGAGGAGGAGGAGGGAGCGGGCUCAUAUUGAUGGAACCAUUCAACGGACACAAAGCCUUCCCUGCCCUGCCCCGUGUUCAGCCCAUCUUCCACUUCAUGGGCACCUCCACAUUCAGCGAGUACACGGUGGUUCACGAGCAGAGUGUGGCCAAG
Molecule: long non-coding RNA, 3669 nt
Filed under: Volvox carteri
Lineage: Eukaryota; Viridiplantae; Chlorophyta; Chlorophyceae; Chlamydomonadales; Volvocaceae
Description: long non-coding RNA (VCAR_LNC002088)
Source: RNAcentral